UACGGAGGGUGCAAGCGUUAUCCGGAUUCACUGGGUUUAAAGGGUGCGUAGGCGGGCAGUUAAGUACCUUGUGAAAUCUCCGGGCUUAACUCGGAACGGUCAAGUGAUACUGUCGUGCUAGAGUACAGAAGGGGCAACUGGAAUUCUCGGUGUAGCGGUGAAAUGCGUAGAUAUCGAGAGGAACACCUGCGGCGAAGGCGGGUUGCUGGGCUGAUACUGACGCUGAGGCGCGAAAGCCAGGGGAGCGAACGGG
This 253-nucleotide ribosomal RNA is filed under the name uncultured bacterium. RNAcentral describes it as "partial 16S ribosomal RNA". It matches the Rfam family "Bacterial small subunit ribosomal RNA", at positions 524 to 776 of the family's 1533-position model. The record is from RNAcentral.